Brassica rapa (field mustard) is the source of this 133-nucleotide non-coding RNA. Lineage: Eukaryota; Viridiplantae; Streptophyta; Magnoliopsida; Brassicales; Brassicaceae. The record is from Rfam.
GGUUGAGUUACAGGGCAAAUACUCCAUUGGCAGAUAGUUUUCACUACAUCUAUAUUAUCUAAAUAUUAAUAAUAGUUGAUAUGUAUGAAAAAAAUGCUUUACUGCCAAAGGAGAUUUGCCCCGCAAUUCAUCC